This 315-nucleotide ribosomal RNA is filed under the name uncultured bacterium. RNAcentral's name for it is "bacterial SSU rRNA". It matches the Rfam family "Bacterial small subunit ribosomal RNA", at positions 28 to 341 of the family's 1533-position model. The record is from RNAcentral.
GAUGAACGCUAGCGGCAGGCUUAAUACAUGCAAGUCGAGGGGCAACAGGGGUAGCAAUACCUGCUGGCGACCGGCAAACGGGUGCGGAACACGUGCAGAACCUUCCUUUAAGCGGGGAUAGCCCAUAGAAAUGUGGAUUAAUACCCCAUAGUAAUGUUGAGUGGCAUCACUUGAUAUUUAAAGAUUUAUCACUUAAAGAUGGCUGUGCGUCUGAUUAGGAGUUGGUCGGGGUAACGGCCCACCAAGCCAACGAUCAGUAACUGGUGUGAGAGCACGACCAGUCACACGGGCACUGAGACACGGGCCCGACUCCUA